AGGUCUCUUUUCUUGUGGCCAUCAAGACUAACACGUGGAGAUAUUCAGCAGCACUGAUCCCGGCUGGUCAUUUAACACAGUGAAAUACACGACAAAUGAGACGUCCAUUACCUUUCCUCAAAACUCUCCUCUAUUGAAGACAGGGGUUUAUCUGCUUUCUGACUCACUAGACUAGACAUGAGCUCUAAGGAUGGAUUUUGACCAUCUGGGGACGGAGCUGCAGCAGAAGGGGUGCAGAGAAGCAGACGCACUGGCUGUAGAGCCUGUACUGUCUGCCUCGAAUUAAUGAGACGCAGUGAACAGAAUGGGAAAAUAGGCACGAUAUGCCUAUAAUACGUAUGCAAAUUUGGCUUUCUGAUGCUGUAUCUAACCUCUCACAGUAAAAAAGUUGAGGACAUUGGCUAUCAGUUUGUUAUCUGUGUAAUUGACAUUCUAGUUGUCCUAAGGGGGUAAAAAUCUUGGUACAUUAUUUAGGUUGGGGGUAAGGGGUAUUUUACCCCUCAAGCAGUUGCUAUUUGUUCUCUUUUCAAAGGCUGUGUUAGCUUAUGAGGUAUUCUGGCUUUGGCUAAUUCUGUCUUAGAAAAGAACAGCAGUCAAACUCAAUCAAAUUAUAACUGCCGUUAGACCAGACAGUCCCAAGAGGACGAAGAAAUAGAUCACACCUUCGGAUGUGCUUGAUUUUCAGACAUUCAUUUUCACUUUGAACAAAUGGCCUGAGCCUUUCCUUGGGGUACUUUCUUACAUCUAGGAGAAGGAAAAGAAAGGUCAUAUGUUCCUGAAGGCUGGGGAUUGUCACAUGUAACAAAGUCAUCUCAAAAAAAGAAGACUGCUCGAGAGAGGAUUUCCUCUGAUCUAAUUUUCCUAAAAAGAAAAACUCAGCUGACACACCGAAGGGAUUCAGAAUCCAAUGUCACCGAGUUCGGUUAUAAAUUUGUUUCAGUCAUUGAAGCAUGUUUACUCUUACAACAUCAAAGCAUGUUAUCUUCACUGACUCUUGGCCCCCUGGAAUUUAAGGUGACCCUAUCCAAAUCCCUAAUCUCUGUGAAACUCUGAAGUAGGACUUUCCUGACAGUUUCUUAGGGGAGCUCUGGGUGAUUAAGAGGUGUGAAAGAAGAUUAAGAUAAUGUUAAAAGCCCUAUCAGGUUAUUUCUAAAAUAAUCGGGAUGCUGAAAGGCAAGGCAUUUGUCUCUUUCACAAUUCCACCCACACUUAAUAGAACACAAUACAAUGUCUUGGUGGUGAGACUGUACUUCCUUAAAACAGUGUUUUCUUUCCAGCAUACUCUCUGGAGUCAUACAAGUUCAGCAGGAGGAGGAUGGUACUCCACCAGCUUUUUCUAAUGGAGACCCAAAUUGCUUGUGUGGUGGAAGUUCACUAGGAAGAGUUAGUGAGGGAAAUUUGGAUAGGACCAGAUCCCAAUCAUAGGGUGCAAUCACACCCACUGACAAGAACGGAAACUUGUCAAUGGUAGAAAAAGUUGGACAAGGCAGGAUGACCCUAUCUGAUUCCAGUGACUGCCAUAUAUGCAGAUGAGUUCACUGGGAUUAAGAGUGGGUAAGAUGAAUACAGGCUUCAAGAAGUAAUUCUUGUUUGUUUUCACUCUGGACUGAACCUUUGUUAUAAUUCCUUUGGCUAAUGGAAACAAUAAAAAAAAGAACUGGCUAGUUAUUUAAAAGUUUAAUCAAAGCCAUCAGUUAGUAUGCUUAUAAGGAAAGGGAACAUAGAAUAAGGAGACAAAUAUAACUACACUUUCUCCAUUUGAGCAGAGAAUGGCAGUACAUCUAUUAUUGGCUGCAUUAAGAUGGACCCUUUUACCCUCUUUUGUCCUUUCAGCACACAUUUGUAACUAAACUUAACUAAAGUAAUCAAAAACAAGAGGGGAUAUUUACUAUGGUAUAAUGACAGUGAAGUUUGCUUGGUUGGUUGGUUUUCUCCCCUUUUAAUCUUCAGUGAGCUAAUGAAUACAAAGGAUUUCUCCCUGAGUGUACCAGGUUCAAAAUUGUGGAGGGCAGAUUCUGUGAAUGAAGGGUUUUUACACCGGGAUUGCAGCCUAUAAAGUUAUCAUUUGAAAUAAAAAAAAAAAAAAUUAGCAUCUGCAAUCUGAAGCAGACCAAACAAAUACAUCGUGCAAUACACACAGUCUUCUCUGCAACUUUCCUCAGAAUGAACAAUUUUGGAACGGUGCUCAUCUGUAGUCUUGAGAGCGUAAAGAGUGUGUUGGAACAAGGACACAAUUAAAAGUGACUUUGGAGAUGGCAUUUACAGCUCAGUGGAGAGUGAUUGCCUACUGUGCAGUAAGCUCUAUGUUCAGUCCCUAACAUAGACCCAGAGGUGGAGCAAGUAAGAAGGGAGAAAAGCAAAUUAAACCUCUUUUAAGAAGAUUUGUUGAUUUAUAUUCAUUCAGCUGUAUAUGUAUCUAACUAUGUGUGUAGAUGCCUGCAGAGGCCAGAAGAGGGCACCAGACAUCCAAGAACUGUUACAGGUGACUGUGAACCUCCUGAGUAGACUGAGAAUAGAACUAUGGUCCUGUGAAACAGCAGUAGACAUUUGAAGAUGCAGUUUAGUCACCACCCUUCGGAAGAGAAAGGAUAUGAGAUACAAAAAAGCAAUGCUGAAUUCUUCAAAUCCUGCAUCUGCUUCAAAACUGGUGUCAUUUCUAUCCAUACUUUGUAUUUGUUACAAACUUCUUAGUAGAGCCCAACAUCUGUCAUAAGCCAAAUACUGUCCUUGUGCAAUGAUUUCUGUUGUGACACAAAUCCUAGAUGCAUGAAAUAAGUAGGUGGCAAAUUAGUCACUUUCCAAUGAUCCUUCUGAUUUCCAUCAAGAGGGAAGGUUUAAAUUUCUAUUCCUGCUUGUGCUGAUGCCUCUAACAAGCUGAAUGCUGGCUUCUCCUCAGACUUAAGAAGACUCCAAGUGUCACCUUUGAAUCUGAGAACAAUGCUUUGCAUUCAUUCAAUUUAUUUCUAAGUUUACCUUAUAGUGUGGACCAGGUGCAGAUAAUUAAAAGAUGAAUGAGAUAAGAUGCCCUCGAAAACUCAGUUAAGUGGCAGAGACAGACAAUGUGAAAGCGUAAUUUUGGUAUAAGGACAGCUCUCGAGU
Long non-coding RNA from Mastomys coucha (southern multimammate mouse), 3099 nucleotides. RefSeq lists it as uncharacterized. The record is from RefSeq and is a predicted model, not a curated record. NCBI's taxonomy places the organism in Eukaryota, Metazoa, Chordata, Mammalia, Rodentia, Muridae. The transcript is spliced from 3 exons.